RNAcentral lists this long non-coding RNA (630 nucleotides) under Mustela putorius furo (domestic ferret). RNAcentral describes it as "lncRNA (ENSMPUG00000023839.1)". Lineage: Eukaryota; Metazoa; Chordata; Mammalia; Carnivora; Mustelidae. The record is from RNAcentral.
GUUUUCUCAUGUGUAAAACAAGAGUAAUGAUAACUACCUCACCAAAUUUUUGUGAGGAUAGAGAAUUAUGUACUCUGCAUGUCAUUAUUGCUUAGUGUGUUGGCCAUUAUUAUUAUGAGGCAUGUUGAAGUACAAAUUGGUGUGCAGAGGCCCUUCCAAUUCUCAUACCUCACUCAUGGUUGUAAGUCUGAUAAUCUUCUCCCUUCCCACUAAGGACUUGGAAAGAAGCUAUAAAAGUAAUCUUUUGAAAUUUCCACAAACUGAUGAAUGGAUAAUCAUUCCUUGCUUCUUCUAGCUUCUGAUGACUGCCAGCAUUCCUUGACUUGUGACGCAUCACUUCAAUCUUCAAGGAAGCCGCAGAGAGAAGAAGCUGCCCAAGAAUGGAAAGGAAGAAAUAUAUCACAUCAUCUGUCUGUCCACAGGCUUUCCUUGGGGCUUAUGAAGGUAUUUUAGAAUUUUUAUAUUGGCAUUUUUCAGGGGAGAUAAAGGUGAACCCUCAAGGGCAGUCAGGCAUCAGUCUUGAAAGUUUGGGCUUCCUUGUUGGUACACUAACCUGACUUUAAUGGCUUUCUUAUUUCGUCAAUAACCAAGGUUACUACCAACGACUUUGUUUUUAGAAUUAAAGCUGUC